GAUAGUUACAGGUUUGUGAGUGACAAUAUCAUAAUUUUUUUUUUAAUUGCAGAAAUUCUUUUGCGAUAUUGUAUAUGGAAGAUGAAGGAGGGAUGAAACUGAUAAGGACUGAUCAGAUUCGAGGACUUUUCAUGAAUGACUAAAAGAGAAAAGCACUGAGAAGACAUCGGUUGGUGAAGCUAUGUUAUAUCCACACACAUAUAAUGUAUGUUGCUCACUGUCGUUGACGACAUGAGAUACUAAUCGUUCAUUCAACGAUCGUCAGUCUACUCACCGCCUCGAUCUUUGGAGGAUAUUAUAUUUUCUCCAGAUACCAUUACCACGCUGUCACGGUGGUCCUGCAUAGCAGUUUGUGCCCUCGAUACUCAGGAUACUCGCAGGAUCACUGGCUCGUAAUGCCUUCCCUUUCGCAUAUUAUUGACCAGUCAACAGUGAGCCCGGCCAUCCAGAAUCCAAUUUUUUGUUUUAUUGAAAAAUUCUCUAACAAUCAAAUCUAGCAGCUCAACACCUGACAACUAGCAGUUCCGACCAGGACACAGGAAGAGGAAGUCAAGUACACGUAUUCCGGACACAUUGGUUCUCCAACCGGUGGUGGAUGUAACCGGCUAGGGAUCAAGUUCUCUCUCUCAAUUCGUAUCCAGUCGAAUUGUUCGCAGAACGGUAUACACAAAAAGGUAUAUGUUUUUACAAAUUUUUCAAAACUAUUUGUUUUUUUUCAAAUUGUGUAAUUUUUUCUUAGUUAUUAUAUUAUUAUUGUAGAAUAUAAAAUAUUUCUUUUUUUUGUCAUUAUUAUUAAUUUAUUAGCAUUGUCUUCCAGGAGUGUGUUUCUAAAUGACUGAUGUAUUUCUCUCACAAGUUUUACAUCAAUAUAACAUAUCCCAAUAUAAAAAUAAUAUAAGGCACUUUUCGUCUAGAGUGAAUAAAGGGUAUCUUCUUACACUUCCAACCGAUUGAGUCUUUGGUAUUUACGUAGGACCCCAAAGAAAACUUCUCAGUCCCCCUCAAGUUUUUUCUAAUGAGCAAAAAAUAAUUAUAUUUAACGGUCAUUUUUGAGCAAUUUUUUUUUAUUUACAAUUUUUUUUUUUUUGCUUUGGAAAAAUCAUUUUUUUUUAUCAAAAGUAAAUUUAUCAAAUAUUAACAUUAAAAAUUGUAUUUUGAAAAAAAUAUUACUUUUAUUUACAAUUUUUUGAAAAAUAAUAAUUUUUUUGUUAUUUUAUCUUUUAUAUAUUUUGGAUUUGAUUUUCUUACAAAAAAUAAUAAUAAGUUUUUUAAGAACAGAUUUUACAUAACUUUUUUUUGCAGAAUGGAUUUCUAUAAAAAUCAUCACCAGCAAAAUUAAAGCACCCGAGAGAGAAGAUGUGGAGCGCGACUGCAACACCUGUGUUUGCUUACACCUGAAAGUACAAUAUAAACGAAGAGUGAGAGAUAGGAUCAAGCAGGCAUUAAUGAAUUGUGUAAACACCGCAAAACUCUCUGUGAUGUAUAUUGCGGUUUGUUGUUGUCCAUUCUUUUUUGGCUUUACUUAUACGAGGAUGAAAAUACACACACAUUCCGUUUUAUGAAUGCACAACAACCGACUCCUAUCUCUCUCAAUGCGCAUAUGAUUGAGUGAUUGGCUUGCACGAUGAGAUGACAGUAUCCGUAUUGUCCAUGGUUAAGGUCCCGCUACUCAUAUAAGUGAUUGCUGUUGGGAUAAUCUUCCACGUGAUAAAUGGAGACUUUAUUAUACAAGAAUAAUAAAAGUGAAGAGGGCAAUGUUCGGAGGGAAAGUUAAACGACAUUGCAGUUGAAAGAGGAGUCAUGAAAACUGUCUCGAGUUGUGCUGAAGCAUUAAUUUCGAUGUCGAGUUGAGAGCGAGAGAGGUACACAACCCCCAAGAUGGCUGCUGCCGGGCGUAUCGACGUUUAGCUUUUGCAAGGUUUCCCAGAGCUAAUGAUUUUUCAAUAGUCUCUCUUUCAUACACACACACACACACACACUAUCUCUCUCACCAUCGCCGUUAUUUUCUUGCAUAAGACUUGAAGAUUUGGUCUGCGAGGUGUACAGGAUGGGAAGGGCAAUUACGAGAAGUCCA
Long non-coding RNA from Leptopilina boulardi, 2074 nucleotides. RefSeq lists it as uncharacterized. The record is from RefSeq and is a predicted model, not a curated record. The transcript is spliced from 5 exons. Lineage: Eukaryota; Metazoa; Arthropoda; Insecta; Hymenoptera; Figitidae.